AGCAGAGUGGCGCAGUGGAAGCGUGCUGGGCCCAUAACCCAGACGUCCGAGGAUCGAAACCUUGUUCUGAUA
This is a non-coding RNA of Nematostella vectensis (starlet sea anemone), 72 nucleotides long. The record is from Rfam. Lineage: Eukaryota; Metazoa; Cnidaria; Anthozoa; Actiniaria; Edwardsiidae.